This is a long non-coding RNA of Daphnia pulicaria, 269 nucleotides long. RefSeq lists it as uncharacterized. Lineage: Eukaryota; Metazoa; Arthropoda; Branchiopoda; Diplostraca; Daphniidae. The record is from RefSeq and is a predicted model, not a curated record. The transcript is spliced from 2 exons.
AGGAAUCUGUGCCUUUGUAUGAAUCGGAACCAACUUUGGAAAGCGCGGCCAGACGCAUCAUUCAAAUUGAAAUAUACCGAAAUGGUUGGUUGGGUCAAGAGAGAAAAAGUCAAGAGAGGACGGUAUUUGACAAAACUUAAUCGGUAACUGGAACGAUAUAGCAAACUGGGGUCUGAGUUUGAAACAAAUGCGAAUUUCCGAGAAACUUCUAACGCACGACGUCACUUUUAAACGCGCGUUUAAACGCAAUCAACAAGACAAAAGAGAAU